This 502-nucleotide ribosomal RNA is filed under the name uncultured bacterium. Its description in RNAcentral is "bacterial SSU rRNA". It matches the Rfam family "Bacterial small subunit ribosomal RNA", at positions 28 to 531 of the family's 1533-position model. The record is from RNAcentral.
GGUGAACGCUAGCGGCAGGCUUAACACAUGCAAGUCGAGGGGUAUUGGUUUUCGGACCAAGAGACCGGCGCACGGGUGCGUAACGCGUAUGCAAUCUACCUUUUGCAGAGGGAUAGCCCAGAGAAAUUUGGAUUAAUACCUCAUAGUAUAGUACUUUGGCAUCAAGGAACUAUUAAAGUCACAACGGCAAAAGAUGAGCAUGCGUCCCAUUAGCUAGUUGGUAAGGUAACGGCUUACCAAGACAAUGAUGGGUAGGGGUCCUGAGAGGGAGAUCCCCCACACUGGUACUGAGACACGGACCAGACUCCUACGGGAGGCAGCAGUGAGGAAUAUUGGUCAAUGGGCGCAAGCCUGAACCAGCCAUGCCGCGUGCAGGAAGACGGUCCUAUGGAUUGUAAACUGCUUUUAUACAGGAAGAAACCCUCCCACGUGUGGGAGCUUGACGGUACUGUAGGAAUAAGGAUCGGCUAACUCCGUGCCAGCAGCCGCGGUAAUGUAGUCG